Molecule: ribosomal RNA, 444 nt
Filed under: uncultured bacterium
Lineage: Bacteria
Description: partial 16S ribosomal RNA
Rfam family: Bacterial small subunit ribosomal RNA
Source: RNAcentral
GUAGGGAAUAUUGGGCAAUGGUCGGAAGACUGACCCAGCCAUGCCGCGUGCAGGAAGACGGCCCUCUGGGUUGUAAACUGCUUUUAUCUGGGAAGAAAAAGGCCAUGCGUGGCAAAUUGCCGGUACCAGAUGAAUAAGCACCGGCUAACUCCGUGCCAGCAGCCGCGGUAAUACGGAGGGUGCGAGCGUUGUCCGGAUUUAUUGGGUUUAAAGGGUGCGUAGGCGGCUGAUUAAGUCAGCGGUGAAAGACUUCGGCUUAACCGGAGCAGUGCCGUUGAUACUGGUUGGCUUGAGUGUCGGAGGGGUACAUGGAAUUGAUGGUGUAGCGGUGAAAUGCAUAGAUACCAUCAGGAACACCGAUAGCGAAGGCAUUGUACUGGCCGACAACUGACGCUGAUGCACGAAAGUGUGGGGAUCAAACAGGAUUAGAUACCCCUGUAGUCC